This is a long non-coding RNA of Marmota monax (woodchuck), 476 nucleotides long. RefSeq lists it as uncharacterized. The record is from RefSeq and is a predicted model, not a curated record. NCBI's taxonomy places the organism in Eukaryota, Metazoa, Chordata, Mammalia, Rodentia, Sciuridae. The transcript is spliced from 3 exons.
UCGUUGGGAUUCCCAGGGAAAGGGCCUUAUUCCAGAAAAUCUGGGUAUAAUUCACAAAUCAUGCCCAAGUAGAAAACGGGGGUGGGGGGGGAGGAAAUUUUCUAUCCUGAAAGAAAAGCCUGCUGGUUGGAACUUUCUUACUAUUAGAGGUGUCAACCAACUUGUGAGAAGGUGAGCUCCCUGUAACCACUGGUUCAGAAAGAUCAGGAUGAAGAGGACCUGUGUGCUUAGGACCUCUCUGUCUAACACGAGGCUUUGCAGGUUUUGGAGUGACAGACUUGGAGAGUGCUGCCACCUGUUUUGACAGGACAAUCCAUGGAAAGGAAGCAAACAUCAUCCAGAGACAAAAUAUUCCCUGGGAAAGAGAUACCCAUCAAGACUAAAAUGGCAAGCUGGGGAUGUGGCUCAAGCGAUAGAGCGCUCGCCUGGCAUGCGUGCGGCCUGGGUUGGAUCCUCAGCACCACAUAAAAACCAAG